GACGAACACUGGCGGCGUGCCUAAUACAUGCAAGUAGAACGCUGAAGGAGGAGCUUGCUUCUCUGGAUGAGUUGCGAACGGGUGAGUAACGCGUAGGUAACCUGCCUGGUAGCGGGGGAUAACUAUUGGAAACGAUAGCUAAUACCGCAUAAGAGUAGAUGUUGCAUGACAUUUGCUUAAAAGGUGCAAUUGCAUCACUACCAGAUGGACCUGCGUUGUAUUAGCUAGUUGGUGAGGUAACGGCUCACCAAGGCGACGAUACAUAGCCGACCUGAGAGGGUGAUCGGCCACACUGGGACUGAGACACGGCCCAGACUCCUACGGGAGGCAGCAGUAGGGAAUCUUCGGCAAUGGACGGAAGUCUGACCGAGCAACGCCGCGUGAGUGAAGAAGGUUUUCGGAUCGUAAAGCUCUGUUGUAAGAGAAGAACGAGUGUGAGAGUGGAAGGUUCACACUGUGACGG
RNAcentral lists this ribosomal RNA (463 nucleotides) under Streptococcus mitis. RNAcentral's name for it is "bacterial SSU rRNA". It matches the Rfam family "Bacterial small subunit ribosomal RNA", at positions 28 to 475 of the family's 1533-position model. The record is from RNAcentral. Lineage: Bacteria; Bacillati; Bacillota; Bacilli; Lactobacillales; Streptococcaceae.